This 485-nucleotide ribosomal RNA is filed under the name uncultured bacterium. RNAcentral's name for it is "bacterial SSU rRNA". It matches the Rfam family "Bacterial small subunit ribosomal RNA", at positions 30 to 508 of the family's 1533-position model. The record is from RNAcentral.
AUUGAACGCUGGCGGAAUGCUUUACACAUGCAAGUCGAACGGCAGCACGGACUUCGGUCUGGUGGCGAGUGGCGAACGGGUGAGUAAUAUAUCGGAACGUGCCCAGUCGUGGGGGAUAACGUAGUGAAAAUUACGCUAAUACCGCAUACGAUCUACGGAUGAAAGCGGGGGAUCGCAAGACCUCGCGCGAUUGGAGCGGCCGAUAUCAGAUUAGGUAGUUGGUGGGGUAAAGGCUCACCAAGCCAACGAUCUGUAGCUGGUCUGAGAGGACGACCAGCCACACUGGAACUGAGACACGGUCCAGACUCCUACGGGAGGCAGCAGUGGGGAAUUUUGGACAAUGGACGCAAGUCUGAUCCAGCCAUUCCGCGUGCAGGACGAAGGCCUUCGGGUUGUAAACUGCUUUUGUACAGAACGAAAAGGUCUCUAUUAAUACUAGGGGCUCAUGACGGUACUGUAAGAAUAAGCACCGGCUAACUACGUGA